RNAcentral lists this ribosomal RNA (476 nucleotides) under Paracoccus aminovorans. RNAcentral's name for it is "bacterial SSU rRNA". It matches the Rfam family "Bacterial small subunit ribosomal RNA", at positions 279 to 772 of the family's 1533-position model. The record is from RNAcentral. Lineage: Bacteria; Pseudomonadati; Pseudomonadota; Alphaproteobacteria; Rhodobacterales; Paracoccaceae.
AUCCAUAGCUGGUUUGAGAGGAUGAUCAGCCACACUGGGACUGAGACACGGCCCAGACUCCUACGGGAGGCAGCAGUGGGGAAUCUUAGACAAUGGGGGCAACCCUGAUCUAGCCAUGCCGCGUGAGUGAUGAAGGCCUUAGGGUUGUAAAGCUCUUUCAGCUGGGAAGAUAAUGACGGUACCAGCAGAAGAAGCCCCGGCUAACUCCGUGCCAGCAGCCGCGGUAAUACGGAGGGGGCUAGCGUUGUUCGGAAUUACUGGGCGUAAAGCGCACGUAGGCGGACCAGAAAGUUGGGGGUGAAAUCCCGGGGCUCAACCCCGGAACUGCCUUCAAAACUAUUGGUCUGGAGUUCGAGAGAGGUGAGUGGAAUUCCGAGUGUAGAGGUGAAAUUCGUAGAUAUUCGGAGGAACACCAGUGGCGAAGGCGGCUCACUGGCUCGAUACUGACGCUGAGGUGCGAAAGCGUGGGGAGCAAA